This 881-nucleotide long non-coding RNA is filed under the name Anas platyrhynchos platyrhynchos (common mallard). RNAcentral describes it as "lncRNA (ENSAPLG00000023968.1)". The record is from RNAcentral. Lineage: Eukaryota; Metazoa; Chordata; Aves; Anseriformes; Anatidae.
CUCUUCCGCAUUUAUGAAACAGACAUGUGGAAUAAAGAUACAGAAAACAUGUAUGGAUCACAGCUGCCCUAAUAACAGAGGAAGUCAUUCAGAAAAACAAGUGGCCAACAGGGGAAAGUUGUGGUUCCCUAAACAGAAGACUCCAUUCUGGAAAAACAGCCUUUACUCCAAGGAAUGCAGUCAUCUUCACUAGAGGCUUACCUCAUUGGAGUUGUUAUAGAAAAACUCAUCAUCCUCAUCACCAGAAUUCUCUCAAGGGGACCUGAUUCCUGUCUUAUCAUUUAUUUAAAAUCCAGAUCUUCUCUACUGAAGGGAGUGAUUAUUAUCUUCUGCCACUUGCUAUCCAGAUCAAGUCUUUUCUGUUUCGAUUGUUCAUUCCACUGUGAGUAUAAAUACUGAUUCACGUGCCUCAAGCACAUCUUGAUAUCAUCCUAUCACUUUCCUUGAGAGUAUAACAAUUUAUAAUUAGGCUUGAUUUAUGUAUGCUAAUGUGUCACAUGUAUCAGACAACCAAGAGAGGUUCAGUAAAAUCAGAUACAAAAUAAGUAAGCCAUAAACCUUACCUGUUGGUGGUUGUUUUGUUUGUUUGUUUUUUGUUGUCAGUUUAGUUUUUGUAUUCCACUUAACGUGAUGUUCUUCUCUCAUGCUGAUUUGUAGAUUGCUAUUAGACUUUUAGUCUUUUCUUGCUUACAUCAAGAUUCUUGCCCAACAUGUAGAUUCCUUCAGGCUAUAAUUGUUGGUGGGAAAUUUCUUGCAGGUGUGUGAUUAUUCAACUCAUCUGAAGCACUCUAUAAAACUCAAAGUCUGUUGCAAAUUAAAAGUAGGGAAUUUACAUUUGUUCCAAGCACUAGAAUAAAAAUCUGAUUCUCUUUAUGAUAUCA